This 31-nucleotide non-coding RNA is filed under the name Rattus norvegicus (Norway rat). Lineage: Eukaryota; Metazoa; Chordata; Mammalia; Rodentia; Muridae. The record is from RNAcentral.
UGGACUGCGUUUCAGUUCCUACUCUCUCCUC